GAUGAACGCUGGCGGCGUGCUUAACACAUGCAAGUCGAACGGAAAGGCCGAAGCUUGCUUCGGUACUCGAGUGGCGAACGGGUGAGUAACACGUGGGUGAUCUGCCCUGUACUUCGGGAUAAGCUUGGGAAACUGGGUCUAAUACCGGAUAUGACGAUCUCUUGGAUGGGGUUGUGGAAAGCUUUUGUGGUAUGGGAUGAGCUCGCGGCCUAUCAGCUUGUUGGUGGGGUAAUGGCCUACCAAGGCGUCGACGGGUAGCCGGCCUGAGAGGGUGUACGGCCACAUUGGGACUGAGAUACGGCCCAGACUCCUACGGGAGGCAGCAGUGGGGAAUAUUGCACAAUGGGCGCAAGCCUGAUGCAGCGACGCCGCGUGGGGGAUGACGGCCUUCGGGUUGUAAACUCCUUUCGCAAUCGACGAAGCCUUUUGGUGACGGUAGGUUGAGAAGAAGCACCGGCUAACUACGUG
This 468-nucleotide ribosomal RNA is filed under the name uncultured bacterium. RNAcentral describes it as "partial 16S ribosomal RNA". It matches the Rfam family "Bacterial small subunit ribosomal RNA", at positions 28 to 507 of the family's 1533-position model. The record is from RNAcentral.